This 515-nucleotide ribosomal RNA is filed under the name fungal endophyte. RNAcentral describes it as "eukaryotic LSU rRNA". The stretch from base 177 to 330 matches the Rfam family "5.8S ribosomal RNA". Lineage: Eukaryota; Fungi. The record is from RNAcentral.
AAGAGUUCUAUAACUCCCAAACCCAUGUGAACAUACCAAACGUUGCCUCGGCAGGUCGCACCUACCUCGUAGCACCCUACCCUGUAAGGCCUACCCGGAACGUGCGGGUAAGCCUGCCGGCGGCCCAUUAAACUCUGUUUGAUAUUGAAUUCUGAACCUAUAACUAAAUAAGUUAAAACUUUCAACAACGGAUCUCUUGGUUCUGGCAUCGAUGAAGAACGCAGCGAAAUGCGAUAAGUAAUGUGAAUUGCAGAAUUCAGUGAAUCAUCGAAUCUUUGAACGCAUAUUGCGCCCAUUAGUAUUCUAGUGGGCAGGACCGUUCGAGCGUCAUUUCGACCCUUAAGCCUUAGUUGCUUAGUGUUGGGAGCCUACGGCGACGUAGCUCCCCAAAGUUAGUGGCGGAGUUGGUUCACACUCUAGACGUAGUAAUUUUUUAUCUCGCCUAUUAGUUGGACCGAUCCCCUGCCGUAAAACCCCCAACUUCUCAAGGUUGACCUCGAAUCGGUUCAGACAAA